GCUCAGUGUUGCUUUGAGCUGAUUGGUUAAGCUGACUGUCACUCAGGAAUCUGGCCAAUGACUAGCGAGCGCGCCGUUUUCCCGCUCAAAUUUGAAUAUACACUUUCACAGCAGUGUCUGUCAGUGGUGUGCCGCUGCUGCUCGGCUUCUGCAGUCUGCGGCGGUCGCUCCUCUAGUAAUGGCUUUUAUAUGUAUUAUCUGAGUGUUAAAUUCAUAUUUUGAGUGAGUUUGUGUUGUGGGAUGACGAUUGAGAACGAAUAAACGCGAAUUUGGACACUUCUACCAGCAGCUAACAGACAAGCAAACUGCAAAAGAGAGGACCUGAACGCAUGAUCCUUGGACUCCUUGGAGAAGAAUACUGGAUGCAAGACAGGAUUUUGGAUCAGCUGUGAAGAUUUUGUAUGGAGCUGGCGAGUACAUUUUUGCAAGCCCAUGUCUCUGUCACUAAUUCAGCUGAUUGCUGGCAAUUUGGAGGAGGACUGCUCUUUAUCUGCUGUGUCUGUCACUUCUGGCCAUGGACCUUUUCUUGAGUCUGACAACAGCCAGUGCUCCACACAGAGAUCUGAUCUCAUCGUCUAAAUCCAGAAGAACUGUGGCAGCGUCUCCAAGAAGCUUCAAGAAACCUACCUGCAAAGCUAAAAGUUUUAGGCACUUGUGUAAAAAUUCUGUUAAAUGAGGAUGUUGUCAAAAAUAAUGCCAUAAAUAAAUUUUCUUUAUCAAUUAACUUUUAUAACUAAAUUAAAUCAACAUUUAGUGUGACCAUCCUUUGCGUUUAAAGCAGCUUUUGCUCUAGGUGCACGUGUGGUUAGUUUUUCAAGUAACUUUUCAGAUAGGUUUCUUGAAGCAUCUUGGAGACGUUGCCACAGUUCUUCUGGAUUUAGUCUCAGUUUGUUCUGUUUCUUCAUGUCAUUCCAGACAGACUGAUGAUGAUCAAGUCAGAUCUCUGUGUGCAGCACUGGCUGUCGUCAGACUCCUUGUGCAAACAAAAAUCACACUGG
Long non-coding RNA from Onychostoma macrolepis, 998 nucleotides. RefSeq lists it as uncharacterized. The record is from RefSeq and is a predicted model, not a curated record. Lineage: Eukaryota; Metazoa; Chordata; Actinopteri; Cypriniformes; Cyprinidae. The transcript has 4 exons.